Molecule: RNA transcript, 7854 nt
Organism: Malaclemys terrapin pileata
Lineage: Eukaryota; Metazoa; Chordata; Testudines; Emydidae
Gene: QKI
Gene name: QKI, KH domain containing RNA binding
Exons: 10
Source: RefSeq, a predicted model, not a curated record
UCGGGGAGCCCCCCCUCCCCGCCCGGAUCCGGCCGGGCGCCCCGUGCCGUGGUUGGGCUGCGCGGCGGGCGCUCGCGGGCUCUGCGCGAUUGGAAUAUGGUUGGGGAAAUGGAAACCAAGGAGAAGCCGAAGCCGAGCCCCGAUUACCUGAUGCAGCUGAUGAACGACAAGAAGCUGAUGAGCAGCCUCCCCAACUUCUGCGGGAUCUUCAACCACCUCGAGAGGUUGCUGGACGAAGAAAUUAGCAGAGUACGGAAAGACAUGUAUAACGACACAUUAAAUGGUAGUACGGAGAAGAGAAGUGCAGAAUUACCAGAUGCUGUGGGACCUAUUGUACAGUUACAAGAGAAACUAUAUGUGCCUGUAAAAGAAUAUCCAGAUUUCAAUUUUGUGGGAAGAAUCCUUGGUCCCAGAGGACUAACAGCUAAACAGCUGGAGGCAGAAACAGGAUGCAAGAUAAUGGUCCGAGGAAAGGGCUCAAUGAGGGACAAAAAGAAGGUCUCCUUUAAGAGCAGAGGCAACCUUGAUCCAGCAGUUUUGGAGGUAGAGGAGGAACAAAACAGAGGCAAGCCCAACUGGGAACACCUGAAUGAAGAUUUACAUGUACUAAUCACUGUGGAAGAUGCUCAAAACAGAGCAGAAAUCAAAUUGAAGAGGGCUGUUGAAGAAGUGAAAAAAUUACUGGUACCUGCAGCAGAGGGGGAAGACAGCCUUAAAAAGAUGCAACUAAUGGAACUUGCAAUUCUGAAUGGCACAUACAGAGACGCCAACAUCAAAUCACCAGCCCUUGCCUUUUCUCUUGCAGCGACAGCCCAGGCUCCAAGGAUUAUUACUGGGCCUGCGCCUGUUCUCCCCCCAGCUGCCCUGCGUACUCCUACGCCAGCUGGCCCUACCAUAAUGCCUUUGAUCAGACAGAUACAGACCGCUGUCAUGCCAAACGGAACUCCUCAUCCAACUGCUGCAAUAGUUCCUCAAGGACCUGAAGCUGGUUUAAUUUACACACCCUAUGAGUAUCCCUAUACACUGGCACCAGCGACAUCAAUUCUUGAGUAUCCUAUUGAACCUAGUGGCGUAUUAGGUGCGGUGGCUACUAAAGUUCGAAGGCACGAUAUGCGUGUCCAUCCUUACCAAAGGAUUGUGACCGCAGACCGAGCUGUUCAGCUGCCUUGGCAAUGGUUGCAACUAUAAAUCAUUGAACUGAAAAUAAUAAAUAUUGGAAUCAUCUCACCUUCUACUGAAACACAGACACUUCUUUGAUGCCGCCACCGGCAACUAACCUAUGACCUUCUGACCUCUGAACUCUUCACCCAAUGAUGACCUGACCAUGCCUGCCUGCUGAUCAGUUAACUGGUAAUCGCCUUUGCUUGCCUGUCUUCAGUGCAGCGAGCUGAGGCACUUGUCCGUUCGUCUUACCAUCUAACAAAAAAGACAAAGAAAUUAUUGUCCUCCAACUCAGCUUUUUUUUCCUGUUUGGGUGAAAGUGGUUCUAGAACCUGCACUGAAUAGUAGUAAAGCAAUAAGGUCCAAUUCAUCCCUCAGCACUGAUCAUCCUUUAGUGUCCCACCCUAAACGAACGGUAAGAAGGCCUCACUUAAGUGAUGGAGACAGAUGUCCCUUAACUACCCGAUGACAGAGGCAGUUACUGUGAGCGACUUCUAGGAAUCUUUUUCUUCUCAUAAUGAAGUCAAAGCUCUCUUUGAAUGUACUGUGUGAUGAUGCAUCAUGCAUGAACCUUUGGUCAGGGAUGUCAUUGGUGAAGGGAUUCCAAAAAGUAUUCAAAAUUUGACUUGCUGUUUAGUCACUACCAGUGCCCUCAAAGGGCAAAAGUUGCAGCCUUUUUUCUAUUGCCUGCCAAAUUGGAUGUUUUAAAAGAACGUGUGCCAUGAAAGAUAGAUUUCAGUGAAUUUUCAGAACUAUGUUAAUGCAAAGAACAAAACAGCAACACUAUGAAAGCAAAAUCUGAGUUAAGAUUACUUUAACCAUAUUUAAACUUUCUUAAAAGAUUACAUGAGAACAAGGUACAUGCAUUAUGUGUCACAUUACUGGGCAAACUGUUCAAAUAUUUUUUUUUAAACCUCCCUGUAUAGAAAAAUUUCAUUAAGGAUGUAAAAGCCAUGCUUGCCUAUUUGCUGUAUACAUGUAAUGAAAUUGUAGAUAAAGUGUAGUGCAUUGAAACAAAAUGAACAAAAAAGUAGAUACUUUUACUAUACAAGGGUGCUGGUGCAGAAAAAAUAUAUUUUUGGAAAUGUAGCAUUUUAUACUUUCAAGUGUUAUAAAAAAAAGAAAAAAAGAACAAAGAAACAACCCUUUAUUUCAUUAAAUGAUUUUUUCUGGUGGUUGUCAAGAAACAAAAGACCAAAAGAGCCUUUUUGUCUUUCUUUUUUAUUUUUUAAGUAUUGGAAUAAGUCUAAAGAAAAGGAAGUGCCUUAUUUUCUUCAUGGUCAUUUAGUCAAAUGUCUCAUAUAAUCAGCUCCUCCCUCAGACAACAAGUUAAUGCAUGCCACUUAGUCGCCCAGUAUGUGAAAAGAAGCUGGGAAAGGAAGACAAAUGAGUUGACCAUUUGAAAUACCUGAUUUUUGCCAUAGUAGCAUGAUGCAACUUUGCCAAAUCUUAUAAUGUGAAACGUUUGAUAAUUUUUCUAUCAAAUGCUGGCCCCCAUUAGUCUUGCAACAUUUUCACCAUCUCAAACCAUAGUUAACAUAUUUUGUUUCAUGUACUUGCUCAAUCUAAACCAAAGGGUUCUGACUCAUUCUAAAUCAGAGCAUUAGCUGACACAUGUUUAUAGGGCAGCAAGUGCUCCAUUUUGUUCAGGGGAUGGCGUGGAGUUGUCUUGAUUUGAAAUAUUGACAAGUAUAGCAGACCUUGUACUUGUCCACAGAAUAAAGUUUGGUGGAUAAUGAAAUUGAACAUGUUUAACUAAUUUUAAGUCUGACCUAAGCAUGUUCCAGUAUUUUGUAAGCAGCUCCCACAGUGUCAAAUAGUGUAUAAGAUAUUCAAUUCUCAUAAUAUUGAUUGUUGCUUUUUAUUCAAAAGAAAAGCAGGAAAGAUUCAUCGACUAACUAUUUAAAAAUUCAUCUAUAGUUCAGUAUUAUCUUUUAGCGCCACAUGAAAUUCAUGUAGCUAGACCAGCAUAAGAGCUGAGAAGCUUUUUUGAAUAGUGUUGAAUUCUGAAAAUAUUGAGCAAGUAUCAGUUUGCUAAUGGCUCAGUAUUAGACUUGGCAAAUAUCAGGUGAUAAUUUAUUUCCCCUCUUGUCAACUUAUUCUCCUCCUGCAAACCUUCAUAGCUUCCAAAUCAAAGGUCAAUAGUAAGCUAAGAAAGAGGGCUUACGGUUUAAGCACCUGUUUGGUGACCUCAUCUAGCAUCUUGUCUCACCUGGAAACAAUUAUCAGUUUAUUUACUAUGCAAUAGACAUUCAUCCUUUUGUAUUCAGCUAGCUUUUGUUUAUCGUGCCACCAGCUUUGUCUUCCUGUUACACAUACAGUUGUUUUGACUUAAUUUACAGUAUAUAUGCUGUGCCAUUUUGAUUUUUGUUUGUUUGGUUGAAUAAACCUGCGACACUCAAACAUUUGAGAAGAGAUUUGCUAAAACAAUACCAGUAUUUGAUCCAGAUUCAUCUCAACUAUGAUAAACCUGGACAUUUUUAGAUGUUUAUCAAAUGGGGGAAAGUUACGUGUAUGAAAUAGAAGUGUGACAUGUAAUAGUAAUGUUUGCUCUGAAUGAACAAACUUUUGAAAACAUAGUUGACAAAAUUUUGGAUCAACUUAAAAAAAAGCAUGACUUUUGAAAUCUCUGAAUGCCUUGGUUCUCAGUAUUAUAAUUCUUUAUUGAAUUUUUCUUUAUUAAAAUAUGUAGUUUUAAGACUUCUUUCUGACAGUAUUAUGUAAUUUUUUUAGAGUGGGUAGAUGGGAGUGUCGCUUGUAUGUAACAGUACAGAUGACAUGUAUUUGUCUAUUCUUUAUUAUCUUAGUAGUUUCAUGCUGUGUAUGUAUCAUAACCAACCUAUUGCCUAUGAGAAACAUGUAAGAUAAUGUAUUUACAGCCAUUGUUACAAGUUUAUAAUGUAUUUUUCUAUCUUGUUUUAUAUGUAUGUUAUAUAAAACAUUCAAUUUUUUUCCUGAUUGAGAAAAAAAGGAUACAAAAAUGCAAAACCCACAAUUUUGAUAACUGAAAAUUGCCAAUUGUUUUGCAGUACUUUAUUAUAUUGGGAGUGUUGUCUUUCUUGGGCUUUUAGUUAGCUACUGGAUGAAUACAUUAGACAUAUUUGGGUUUUAGUUGGGUUUUUACAUAGCUUGCAUUUUAAUUCUUUGGUUCUUUGCUGUUUCUAUUAACCCAUAGCAUUAUUUUAAUAAAUGUUAUAAUACCAACCUACUAACUCUGGACUAUGUCUGUUUAUUAACCAUUACAUGUUUAAUUAAAAUAAACAAACAAAGACGGAAGAAUGUAAAGUCUUGAGUUACUGGACUAACCCUGAAGAACGUGACCACAGAUAACACAUGACUUGUAUUUAUGUUGUUUGUCGGCUGACAUUCUGCACACUACUAUUAAAUUGGCUUUUGGUCAUUCUGGCCUUUGCCUUGGGGGGGGUAGGUGGAGUAGAGAUGGGAACAAAGUAGCAUUAUUUGAAGCAUUCUUCUUGUAGUCUUGCCACUUGCCUUUCAGCAUCUGCAUUACUAAUUCCACACAUUACUUUUUCUUUCUCUAAAAUAAUCACUGUCAGCUCACAGCAAAAGAGCAAAGAUGCCAGUAUAUUGGUAAAUCAUGUGAUGGUGUACCCAGAGAAACCAGUUUGAUUCUUUGUUGAACCAUUUUGAUGUCACAGUAAAUCUCAUUGAAAUUUGCCAUUCUUUAUUUAAAGCACCUGAUUCAGUGUCACAUCUUGUGAUUCUCUUCUAUUUUGUAUAAGCACACAUUAUUACUGAACUAUAUUUUUUGUGUAUCUGAAGCAAGGAACUGGCUUUUUUCUAGGAUGUCACAAAGAUUUUCCUACAGCUUGCUUUAUUUCCUACUUGACAUACUAUUUAUGUAAAUUUUUUUUGUACGUCUGUAGUCUGUCAUUAUCACCUAGCUCAGGGGAGUACAACUUCUGAAAAGCCAAAGAUCAAGCUGGAUCAUUUCCUAAUGACUACAGAAAGUACAAAAUACUAAACCUGUGGCACUAUAUUACUGAGAAAUAGCCAUUUCAAAUACCAAGGCUCUUUACCUGUGAUCUCUAUCCCUGUGGAUGACCGUAGCAACACAAAUGCAGGGCAUGUAAAUGGUGGAAACACGGUAGUAAAUAUGUUUUUGUUUUUGAGCUUCGAUGCAAAUGACUUUUACAGAGAAACUUCAUAUUUAAAAUUUUCUAUUAUUUGAAGUUUUGUUUGUAGCCUGGUUAGGCCUACCAGAUUUUUGCUUAAAUGUACAGUAAUUACCAGCUAUUCCCUUCGGAGACCCUUGAUGCACAUCACUUAUUUCCCUGAUAUUGACAGUUUACUUUUCUGUGAACUAGCAAUCUACUUGCCUGGGAAUAAAAAUUCAGAUGAGAAAUCGGCAUCUGUUCAAAACUGGGUUUUUUCCAUUUGUUGUCAUAAGCUUUAAUUUACAGAUUUCAGAAUCCUUGUAAUAAAGUUUUUAUUUUAAAAAGUGGAAAGUUCUCCCAAUUUUUUUAAGUUAAUUUUAUGUAGAAAAAUUGGGCCGAGCACUAAUUAAUAAGUAGUUUGUGCAUUAAUUCGUUAGGCAUGUUGAUAUACAACUAGAUUUUUUAAAUACCCGUUUAAACAUCUAGUUUAAUUUACAGAACUGUACAGAUGCAACUGUAAAAUAGAGAAAAUUGAUAGGUCUAGAACAAGUUACACAUGUACAAAAAAAAGUUUUUUGGGGGGGCCAUUUCACUGCUUAUACUAUGAAUGUAUUGCUAUCCAAAAAUUCAAUGAGACAGUGUAAAAAGAAAAUAACUCAUAGUGAAUAAAAUCAGAACUUUAUGAUUCAAGUAAUGUGACAUUACAACUAUGAAUUUGGAGUUGUACAGAAAAUGCUCAAAACGUUUGAGACAGGACAAGUGUUUAAACUUUGAGAUGUCUACAAAUUUGAUUAAAACUUCCUGGGUGGGACUAGACAUUGUUACGGUUUUGGGAUAGCAAAAUAUCUUCUAGGGGCAAUUAGUUGGAUGCUUACGAUACAACUUUAUGAUCUUCAUUAUCUUUUAUUAUCCAUGAACUACUGUCAUAGUUUGCCCACAGUGGGCAUUUUCAUCUCAUUGUCAAUUAUACAUAGUAAUGAACAUUUGCCCAGAAGAGAAGUGGGUUAUUGUUGUUUUUUAAACUGAAGGAAAACAAUAAGCCUUAAAAGCAAAAUAACUCUUUUUACACAAAUUAAUGUUACUAUUGAACAUAAGUGCAGAUCUCAAUGUCCAUAGCUAAGUGCUUAACUAAAAAUCUUGUCAACUAUAAAAAGGCAACAAUUUAAGAUGAAUUUCUGGCGCUUGAGCUUGAUAACUUCAGUGUUACUCUAUUGUUAAAGUUUUUUGUGUUUUUUAAUUCUGGAAGGGUAAAAUGUCUUUCAGAUUUUAUAAAAGGCAUGUAUUCAAGCAAACCUACAGCACUGCAGUUCCUUCCAGCAAAAUGGAGUCAAUUUAAAUAAGUAUAUUUUUAUUUACAUUUAAUUUACAAUUUUAUGCAAAUAUAAACAGAAGUACAACAAAACCCUUUUAAAUAAAUACUGGAUGAAGCAAUAUUCUUUUAAAAAAGCACUUCAGAAAAUCAGCCUCUUGGAGAAUAAUCAUACUGUGCAUCAAACCAAAAUACGUUUCAUAGAGAGUCCCCAAAGACUUUAAGUAUCUUUUGUGCAGAUAUUUAACCAGUUUUAGAUUACUAAUCAGUAUUUACUAAUAUACUAUUUGAACAGAUCUUUUAACAAGUUUGUGUAAAAAUCCACUUAUACAUAAUAUAACAAGCUAAAAUUGCUUUAUUUCCAAUCACACCCUUUAAUCUAUGGGGACCACUGAAAAGUUUUCUGCACUGCAAAAUGCUGUAGGAAAUGCACACUAAAGUAUGUUGCUAUCCAAUAAAAAAGAAUGCAGAAAAAUAUAACUCUUUUUGAAACUUUUUUAUGUAUCUGGAUAAUUAAACGGGCACUCUAAAUGGCACAUUACACAAUAAAGUCCUUGUAACGCUUUUUACAAACAUUCCUGAAGUGCAAGUGUGUAAUUGUACUUAGAAUGCCUAGUUUAUUUUUAAUAGAUCUUUGAUAUAGAGAGAUGUUUUGUGAAAUAAUAUAUUAAUGGUAUACUGUUUUUUCAACUAAGCAUAUGAACCAUUACACUGACAUGGUAAUCAAUGUUGAAUCAAACUGGUUAACUUAAGCACAUUGGUCUCCUUCCUAUGUGCCUGCUUACUGAUUGCAGGUGGUAUAGUUCCGCAUUGGAGGUGGGUGUCAUGCGCAGCAGAUGGUUACUUGCUCUAUUAGCUUCUUGGUGCCAGCAGUUUGGGUGUCCGUUGUUGACAACAGACUGCACUGGGAGAAAUUUGACUCCCAGGGCGAAAAUUAAUUUGCAUCUAAAAAACUAUUAGAGAAGAGUUAAUAGAAUAUAUAUCCUUUUUGACUUCUAUUGUGGCAGUUUGUGUGAAACAUUUAACAUUUUGUUUGUACAAAAUAAUGUAUUUUGAGGGGGGGAAAUAGACCUUGCCAAAACACAUGUAAAUAAAAACACCAAGUAUGACUGUACAUGAUGUGCAAUAAAAUAACUGGAAAAAGUGCAUGUACUUUAUCAAAAGCCGAUUGGAAGCUAUCAAUGCUGCAACUAUAGUUUUAUUUUCUGAAAAGUCACAUUUUAUUCUGUAUUUAAACAGCAGAAUAAAGAAUCUGCAUUUUUCACA